Pieris napi is the source of this 412-nucleotide long non-coding RNA. RefSeq lists it as uncharacterized. Lineage: Eukaryota; Metazoa; Arthropoda; Insecta; Lepidoptera; Pieridae. The transcript is spliced from 3 exons. The record is from RefSeq and is a predicted model, not a curated record.
AAUGUCAUUGUCAAAUGUCAAUUAAUUUCUGAAUGUGGCUGUUGACAAACAAUCGUUUUGGUUUAUUUUGUUCUUAUUUAUUCAUUUACGUGUUUAAAUAUGAGUAAAACUAUUAAAAGUGGAGUUCGAGAGAUAUUGUUCUCCAUGAUAUCAAAAUUCCAAGCAAAACAAGAAGAAAAUGACUGAAAGAAUUUUUUUAGAUAGAAUAUUUCGCAGGAAAUCAGGAGGAUGUAGAAGGAGUUGAUGCAAUAGUGAGAACUACUGGUAAGCUCACUGAUUUAGAGCAGUAAGAUAGAAUAAAAUCCCAGAACCAGUACUUUAAAGAAAUCGCUUCCAUCAUUGGUGUAAGUGUAAUAUCAACACUCAAUAAAAAAAGAAGGGGCAACAAAUCAAGGUGUCGGGAGUACACCUG